GAGUGGUAUAAAAGAGUCUACCAAUGCUUCUGAAGAGCAGUGACAUAUGAAGAGCAGUCUUGGGGAAUCAUGAAGAGAACAUUCUGGAACCAAAUUACUAAGGCAACUUAAGCCAAGGAGAAACCAGGUCCAUCUGCUCAGCACACGGUGGGUUGCGCACAUCUCCUGCUGUGCCUGGGAUUGCUGCUGACACAGCUGGCAGCAGCCAGCACCCUGUGCCCUGCCAGGUGCUUCACACACAGCUGCUGGGAUGUAGCUCCUGAAGUUGCUGAUGCACACCAUGAUAAAACCACAUUGCUUCUGGGUGCAGAGGGAAUGCAUGAUGACUUGAGCUGCUGUUUUCUAGGCCAUCAUGUCAUUUACUGCGGAAGCCAAAGGAGAGCAGUUGAUGCAAGCAAGUGAGAGUAUGGAGAUGCACCCAGGACAGCAGGAUCUGGCUGUGGAAAGAGCUUUGGAGUCCUCAGAUACACUGUGGCUUAGCCAGGAGAGGCACCCAAGCUAUCAAACAGAGGAUGAAAAACAGGAGCACAGCAAUGCCUUUCUCAGAGCUUCCUUCUCUCAGCAAUUCAAAGAUAAGGAGUCAGCACUUCCAAAGAAAGAAUUUACAUAUAAUACAUUCAGGCUCUUUAUUUCACUUUCAGAUUAGGAACCUUCAGGGUUCAUGUUUUCGGUUUUCCUCCAAAAGACCUGCUGCACAAUGAAACCUGAUGUUCUGAUGUUGUUCUGGGGAGGUGGAGCAGUAGGAAAACAGCUGGCACAUCAGCAGCCAGCAGCAUUGCUCCAGCGGAUCUCUGCAUGGCCCUGGUGCUGAGUCAGCGAGAGAAUGCUGCAGGGCUGCUGGAGCAAACUCAGCAUGCCCACUGCUCCACUGGAAGGAAACUAGCAGCAUCACCUGUCCACCUGCAGGAAUAGGAGCUGCUCUGUGGGUUGAAAUGCCCUGUGGACUAUUUACCAGUGUAAAGUGCACACUGUUUGGGUCCACGUGAUCGUAGAAUCAUA
This is a non-coding RNA of Phasianus colchicus (ring-necked pheasant), 999 nucleotides long. Lineage: Eukaryota; Metazoa; Chordata; Aves; Galliformes; Phasianidae. The record is from RefSeq and is a predicted model, not a curated record.